This is a non-coding RNA of Termitomyces sp. T159_Od127, 83 nucleotides long. Lineage: Eukaryota; Fungi; Basidiomycota; Agaricomycetes; Agaricales; Lyophyllaceae. The record is from the annotation of a GenBank genome assembly.
AGCAGCAUGGCGCAGUUGGAAGCGCGCGGGGCCCAUAAUAUGGAGAUACCCCGAGGUCACUCGAUCGAAACGAGUUGCUGCUA